This 279-nucleotide ribosomal RNA is filed under the name uncultured bacterium. RNAcentral describes it as "partial 16S ribosomal RNA". It matches the Rfam family "Bacterial small subunit ribosomal RNA", at positions 506 to 784 of the family's 1533-position model. The record is from RNAcentral.
UGCCAGCCGCCGCGGUAAUACGGAGGGAUCGAACGUUAAUCGGAAUUACUGGGCGUAAAGCGCGCGUAGGCGGUACGGUAAGUGGGAUGUGAAAGCCCCGGGCUCAACCUGGGAACUGCAUUCCAAACUGCCGCACUAGAGUCUGGUAGAGGGAGGUAGAAUUUCCUGUGUAGCGGUGAAAUGCGUAGAUAUAGGAAGGAAUACCGAUGGCGAAGGCAGCCUCCUGGACCAAGACUGACGCUGAGGUGCGAAAGCGUGGGGAGCAAACAGGAUUAGAUA